GUACACUCCUACGGGAGGCAGCAGUGGGGAAUUUUGGACAAUGGGCGAAAGCCUGAUCCAGCAAUGCCGCGUGAGUGAAGAAGGCCUUCGGGUUGUAAAGCUCUUUUGUCAGGGAAGAAACGGUGAGAGCUAAUAUCUUUUGCUAAUGACGGUACCUGAAGAAUAAGCACCGGCUAACUACGUGCCAGCAGCCGCGGUAAUACGUAGGGUGCAAGCGUUAAUCGGAAUUACUGGGCGUAAAGCGUGCGCAGGCGGUUUUGUAAGUCUGAUGUGAAAUCCCCGGGCUCAACCUGGGAAUUGCAUUGGAGACUGCAAGGCUAGAAUCUGGCAGAGGGGGGUAGAAUUCCACGUGUAGCAGUGAAAUGCGUAGAUAUGUGGAGGAACACCGAUGGCGAAGGCAGCCCCCUGGGUCAAGAUUGACGCUCAUGCACGAAAGCGUGGGGAGCAAACAGGAUUAGAUACCCCUGUAGUCCCA
RNAcentral lists this ribosomal RNA (475 nucleotides) under uncultured organism. RNAcentral's name for it is "partial 16S ribosomal RNA". It matches the Rfam family "Bacterial small subunit ribosomal RNA", at positions 331 to 797 of the family's 1533-position model. The record is from RNAcentral.